Molecule: long non-coding RNA, 1133 nt
Filed under: Nicotiana benthamiana
Lineage: Eukaryota; Viridiplantae; Streptophyta; Magnoliopsida; Solanales; Solanaceae
Description: long non-coding RNA (NBEN_LNC026306)
Source: RNAcentral
UUAAAUAUUUAUACAUAUUUAAUGAAUUUUCUAACAUAAAUAUAUGUCUAAUAAAAAAAUUACUAGUUCUGUGGGAAUUACUAGCUCCGCUCCUACAACACAUAGAUGUAAUUCCAUAUGUUCAAAUGACCAUGCUGCUAAUGAUGCUGCCACUACUGUUACUGUUGCCGCUCUUGAUGUUGCUGCUGCUGCAGCUGAUCCAUGGAAUUCAAGCAAGUGCAACAACUAAAUAAUUCUUUAAAAUGAUGAGUUCGAUACAGAAAGGCCAGGAUGGAGAUCUCCUUCUCUAUUGGACAUCAAACCUAAAUGUGCUUUAGAGCAAGAAAAGCAUAAAAAAUGAGUCGUAAUUGACAAAACCAUUCAGAUAUACAUAUAUUAAAAUCGAAACAUAAGAUUUAAACAGAUUAUAGAUCAGUACUCUACGUCCACGAAUAUUUAAAGCUAAAUACUUGAUGUUUACACAAUAAAAUCUCCAACGUAAAGAUUCUGUACACAAAUUUGAACAUUCAAAGCUAACUGUUUGAAGUUUAGACAUAGCAUGAUACUCUUUCCAAAACUACAGUAUAUAAAGAUGGCUUAAAAUUACCAAAAUUGAACACUGAAUUGAUAAAAUCAUAAGUUGAACCACUCUUGGCAAACUAAAAAAAGGGGAUUCUAUCCCCUUUAUUAAAUGUUGAAACGACGACUUACUCUAGGAGAAGAAAAAAAUGCUUUAUGGAUCUGAAAGAUUAAGAAGACUGAAUUUUAAAAGAUCUUUUAUGGCAUCAAUUUUUACUUGUUCAUGCGUUACAAUAUUUAUUAACAAACUUAAUCGAUUGUAGAUACCAUGAUAUCCGGAAGGGAGAUCGUUCAAGCAGCAAUGCUCCAUAACCUAAGCAUAUUGACACUUAUAAGUGUAAGAACCAAUUAAACAAUAAAAGAAUACAAUAUUAAUCAAAUACAAAUGCUAUUAAUGAAGAAAAGAACUAACAAUUUGGUGACUCAUUGAUUCAAUUUGGACGAAACCUUUCACAGGAUUCAAAAUGGAAUUGGCUUCACCGUCUUCAUCAUCGUUGAAAUCCUCAUCCUCGUCAUUAUCUUGAGCUGUUUUCAUGUAUAGCCGCACAGGUUGAGAAGUGAUGGAUGAGAGAAUG